Long non-coding RNA from Pieris napi, 910 nucleotides. RefSeq lists it as uncharacterized. The record is from RefSeq and is a predicted model, not a curated record. Lineage: Eukaryota; Metazoa; Arthropoda; Insecta; Lepidoptera; Pieridae. The transcript is spliced from 2 exons.
GGUAAUUGGUAACGCUUGACUCUUAACAAAUGUAAACAAACGUCAAAUCCCUUAAUUAUUAAUAUUAUAAAACAAGAUAAAACAUUUUUUUUUCAAAAAUGCCUCGCUGCGCAGCAAUCGGUUGUAAUAAUAAUGGAAAUCACAGUUUCCCUAAGGAUUUACGAAUAAGAAGACUUUGGGAAAAAGCUCUGAAAAGACGUAAUUUCAAAGCUAUAAACUAUUCGAGGUUAUGUUCGAAACAUUUUAUUGAAUCCGAUUAUGAAGGCAUAAGCUCUUCUACAGGUUUACCUCAAGUUCAUAAAUAUUUGAAAAAGACUGCAAUCCCAACUGUUUUUGCCUGGAAGAAACCCACUACCACAGCAAGUAUUGCAAGGGAACAAAGAUAUUUGAAACGCGAAUCUAGAAAAAAACUGGUAUUUCAAUCAACAUCUGCAACAGAGAUUGACACUAAUAUUCCUUCUAUACCUCAAGAAGAGACUAUUGAAGUUUUGCCUCUGGUUCCUAACAUUCAAGUUGAAGUUAAAUUGAUGACCAGUCCAGCCCAGGAAAUCAGGGUAGCCCCACCUCCAUCCACUCCAAAUAGAGUAUCAACCCAAACUACAUUAAUUCAGAUUUUUAUCCUCAGAUAAUAUGUUAUGAGAUGCCAGAUUGGUUUUGAUUUUAGAGGACAUAUCUAAACUUAAUUUGAUGUUCUCUACAUUAUUACCAAUGCCAUAUCAUUAAAAUUAUAGGGGCAGCCAUGUCAUUAACAUCAGUGUAAUUUAAAUGAAACGCAAUCACUUGCAGUGACAAAGAACGACUAAUUUAUUCAAACACAUCACAGAUACAAUAGACGACAGUAAUACAUUUUGACAUAACUGUCAUUAGAUGGCGUUACUUGUACCAUUUCUAUAUUUUGAUACUUUCAACA